Long non-coding RNA from Phyllostomus discolor (pale spear-nosed bat), 148 nucleotides. RefSeq lists it as uncharacterized. The record is from RefSeq and is a predicted model, not a curated record. The transcript has 3 exons. NCBI's taxonomy places the organism in Eukaryota, Metazoa, Chordata, Mammalia, Chiroptera, Phyllostomidae.
CUAUCUUUCCACAAAUUUAGAAUGUGGGUCCACAAUAGUCCUACCAGUUAAUCACUGCUCAGAAAGAAUUAUAGCCAGACCCUUCCCACCAAUGCUUCCCAAAAACAUUUUGCCAGGAUAUUCUGGCCACCAGAAGACCUCAGUGGUG